Molecule: long non-coding RNA, 257 nt
Organism: Rhea pennata
Lineage: Eukaryota; Metazoa; Chordata; Aves; Rheiformes; Rheidae
Exons: 3
Source: RefSeq, a predicted model, not a curated record
AGGGAGCUGGUGUGCGUCACCACGGCCUGCCCAGGGCGCGCUGCCAGCAGCGCGGUGGGCGCCUCCGAGGAGCCCAGCGUCCCCAGCCCCACGGCAGCCCCAACGGCGGGACCCCGCGGGGACGACGGCGCCCGGCACAAGGACUGACGCCGCGGAGGCCCGACGCUGCCCGGGAGCCAUGGCGGAGGCGGAGGCGGCCCCGGCCGAGGGCCGCCCGCCGGCCCGGAGGCGCUGGCUCUUCUGGCGGCUGCACCCGC